RNAcentral lists this ribosomal RNA (552 nucleotides) under Priestia endophytica. RNAcentral's name for it is "bacterial SSU rRNA". It matches the Rfam family "Bacterial small subunit ribosomal RNA", at positions 324 to 867 of the family's 1533-position model. The record is from RNAcentral. Lineage: Bacteria; Bacillati; Bacillota; Bacilli; Caryophanales; Bacillaceae.
ACACGGCCCAGACUCCUACGGGAGGCAGCAGUAGGGAAUCUUCCGCAAUGGACGAAAGUCUGACGGAGCAACGCCGCGUGAGUGAUGAAGGUUUUCGGAUCGUAAAGCUCUGUUGUUAGGGAAGAACAAGUAUCUGUUGAAUAAGCAGGUACCUUGACGGUACCUAACCAGAAAGCCACGGCUAACUACGUGCCAGCAGCCGCGGUAAUACGUAGGUGGCAAGCGUUGUCCGGAAUUAUUGGGCGUAAAGCGCGCGCAGGCGGUUCCUUAAGUCUGAUGUGAAAGCCCACGGCUCAACCGUGGAGGGUCAUUGGAAACUGGGGAACUUGAGUGCAGAAGAGGAGAGCGGAAUUCCACGUGUAGCGGUGAAAUGCGUAGAGAUGUGGAGGAACACCAGUGGCGAAGGCGGCUCUCUGGUCUGUAACUGACGCUGAGGCGCGAAAGCGUGGGGAGCGAACAGGAUUAGAUACCCUGGUAGUCCACGCCGUAAACGAUGAGUGCUAAGUGUUAGAGGGUUUCCGCCCUUUAGUGCUGCAGCAAACGCAUAAGCAC